RNAcentral lists this ribosomal RNA (1524 nucleotides) under Mycoplasma anserisalpingitidis. RNAcentral describes it as "16S ribosomal RNA". It matches the Rfam family "Bacterial small subunit ribosomal RNA". Lineage: Bacteria; Bacillati; Mycoplasmatota; Mollicutes; Mycoplasmatales; Mycoplasmataceae. The record is from RNAcentral.
ACAUGACAGUCAAUUUUUUUGAGAGUUUGAUCCUGGCUCAGGAUGAACGCUGGCUGUGUGCCUAAUACAUGCAUGUCGAGCGGAGUUCUUCGGAACUUAGCGGCGAAUGGGUGAGUAACACGUACUUAACAUGCCCUCUAGAUUGGAAUAACGAUUAGAAAUGAUCGCUAAUGCCGGAUACUUAUAUCUUUCGCAUGAAGGAUAUAUAAAAGGAGCGUUUGCUUCGCUAGAGGAUUGGGGUGCGUAACAUUAGCUUGUUGGUAGGGUAAUGGCCUACCAAGGCUAUGAUGUUUAGCGGGGUUGAGAGACUGAUCCGCCACACUGGGACUGAGAUACGGCCCAGACUCCUACGGGAGGCAGCAGUAGGGAAUUUUCCACAAUGGACGAAAGUCUGAUGGAGCGACACAGCGUGCAGGAUGACGGCCUUCGGGCUGUAAACUGCUGUUAUAAGGGAAGAAAAAAUAAAGUAGGAAAUGACUUUAUCUUGACGGUACCUUGUCAGAAAGCAACGGCUAACUAUGUGCCAGCAGCCGCGGUAAUACAUAGGUUGCAAGCGUUAUCCGGAAUUAUUGGGCGUAAAGCGUCUGUAGGUUGUUUGUUAAGUCUGACGUGAAAACUUGGGGCUCAACCCCAAAUUGCGUUGGAUACUGGCAAACUAGAGUUAUGAAGAGGUUAGCGGAAUUCCUUGUGAAGCGGUGAAAUGCGUAGAUAUAAGGAAGAACACCAACUUGGCGAAGGCAGCUAACUGGGCAUACACUGACACUGAGAGACGAAAGCGUGGGGAGCAAACAGGAUUAGAUACCCUGGUAGUCCACGCUGUAAACGAUGAUGAUUAGCUGAUGGGGAACUCAUCGGCACAGCUAACGCAUUAAAUCAUCCGCCUGAGUAGUAUGCUCGCAAGAGUGAAACUUAAAGGAAUUGACGGGGAUCCGCACAAGCGGUGGAGCAUGUGGUUUAAUUUGAUGCUACGCGUAGAACCUUACCCACUCUUGACAUCUUCCGCAAAGCUAUAGAGAUAUAGUGGAGGUUAACGGAAUGACAGAUGGUGCAUGGUUGUCGUCAGCUCGUGUCGUGAGAUGUUCGGUUAAGUCCUGCAACGAGCGCAACCCUUGUCCUUAGUUAAAUGUUCUAAGGAGACUGCCCGAGUAAUUGGGAGGAAGGUGGGGACGACGUCAAAUCAUCAUGCCUCUUACGAGUGGGGCAACACACGUGCUACAAUGGACGGUACAAAGAGACGCAAUACGGCGACGUGGAGCAAAUCUCAAAAAACCGUUCUCAGUUCGGAUUGUAGUCUGCAACUCGACUACAUGAAGUCGGAAUCGCUAGUAAUCGUAGAUCAGCUACGCUACGGUGAAUACGUUCUCGGGUCUUGUACACACCGCCCGUCACACCAUGGGAGCUGGUAAUGCCCGAAGUCGGUUUUGUUAACUACGGAGACAACUGCCUAAGGCAGGACUGGUGACUGGGGUGAAGUCGUAACAAGGUAUCCCUACGAGAACGUGGGGAUGGAUUACCUCCUUUCUA